UACGUAGGGUGCGAGCGUUGUCCGGAAUUAUUGGGCGUAAAGGGCGCGUAGGCGGCUUGGCAAGUCAAAGGUGAAAUCCCUCGGCUCAACUGAGGAACUGCCUUUGAAACUGCCUGGCUUGAGGCCGGGAGGGGGUAGCGGAAUUCCCAGUGUAGCGGUGAAAUGCGUAGAUAUUGGGAGGGCCACCAGUGGCGAAGGCGACUACCUGGCCUGUUCUUGACGCUGAGGCGCGAAAGCUAGGGGAGCAAACGGG
This 253-nucleotide ribosomal RNA is filed under the name uncultured bacterium. RNAcentral describes it as "partial 16S ribosomal RNA". It matches the Rfam family "Bacterial small subunit ribosomal RNA", at positions 524 to 776 of the family's 1533-position model. The record is from RNAcentral.